UCCAACAUUAACUCUGCUCAACAUGCUGUCUCUGCUCACAUCUGGAUUCACUCUGCUGGUUCUGAUCACUGGAUCAGGUGUAAACUGCCAACAACUCACUGCAGCAAAGACUGAGGAGUUCAGUUCAGAGGGCAGCUCUGUUACUCUGACCUGCAGUUACUCUAAAACUGCUGUUUAUGAUGAUUAUAUCUUCUGGUAUCGUCAAUAUCCUGGAAAAUCUCCACAGUUCCUGAUCUCCCACUCAGGAACAGGAACACAAACAUCUCAGCCGUUUCCUGGUUUCUACUUCAACAUGAAUGAUGAUAAAACCCAGAUGGAUCUGCUGAUCUCCUCUGCUGCAGUGACAGACUCUGCUGUGUACUACUGCGCUGUGAGGCCCACAGUGACAGGAAACACCAGAACCCUGAACAAAAACCUGCAGUACUGCACAGCAGCCACCAGAGGGCGCCAUGCUCCAGUAGGCGGCGCUCUCCUUGUGCUCUGUGCUCCAGCAUUGUGUCAAUAA
This is a non-coding RNA of Poeciliopsis prolifica (blackstripe livebearer), 505 nucleotides long. Lineage: Eukaryota; Metazoa; Chordata; Actinopteri; Cyprinodontiformes; Poeciliidae. The record is from the annotation of a RefSeq genome assembly.